UUAAAUGGCCGCAGUAUUUUGACUGUGCUAAGGUAGCAUAAUCAUUAGUUUUUUAAUUGAAAGCUGGAAUGAAGGGUUGGAUGAAAAAAAAACUGUCUCUAAUUAAUUUAUAUAGAAUUUUAUUUUUAAGUUAAAAAGCUUAAAUAAAAUUAAAAGACGAGAAGACCCUAUAGAGUUUAAUAAUUUAAUUAAGUUUUAUUAUUUAGAAUUAAGAUAUAGAAUUUAUUAAAUUAUUUAAUUGGGGUGAUUAAAAAAUUUAAUUAACUUUUUUUAUAUUUUUAUAUUUAUAUAUAGAUAUUUGAUCCAAGUAUUUUGAUUAUAAGAUUAAAUUACCUUAGGGAUAACAGCGUAAUUUUAUUAGAGAGUU
Molecule: ribosomal RNA, 367 nt
Filed under: Apophylia flavovirens
Lineage: Eukaryota; Metazoa; Arthropoda; Insecta; Coleoptera; Chrysomelidae
Description: partial 16S ribosomal RNA
Source: RNAcentral